This 348-nucleotide unclassified non-coding RNA is filed under the name soil metagenome. RNAcentral describes it as "partial contains 5.8S ribosomal RNA, internal transcribed spacer 2, and large subunit ribosomal RNA". The stretch from base 1 to 120 matches the Rfam family "5.8S ribosomal RNA", at positions 35 to 154 of the family's 154-position model. The record is from RNAcentral.
GAUGAAGAACGUAGCGAAAUGCGAUAAGUAAUGUGAAUUGCAGAAUUCAGUGAAUCAUCGAGUCUUUGAACGCACAUUGCGCCCCCUGGUAUUCCGGGGGGCAUGCCUGUCCGAGCGUCAUUGCUGCCCUCAAGCACGGCUUGUGUGUUGGGCCGCCGUCCCCGGUUUCCCCCGGGGACGGGCCCGAAAGGCAGCGGCGGCACCGCGUCCGAUCCUCGAGCGUAUGGGGCUUUGUCACCCGCUCUGUAGGCCCGGCCGGCGCCAGCCGACACCCAACUUUAUUUCUAAGGUUGUCCUCGGAUCAGGUAGGGAUACCCGCUGAACUUAAGCAUAUCAAUAAGCGGAGGA